CACCCCGCAGCCCUGCCCCGGCACCCCGCAGCCCGCUGCUCUGCCCCUGCCGUCUGACCGGGCGCUUGCCGCCGGGAGAAGCGGGAUGACAAGUGUCCAUGCCAGCACAAAUCCCAUCCCAGCUCUGUCCCCGACCUGCGCGGAGGCUCCAGGAGAGCCAAGCCCGCUCCUGGCUCCCGGGGCACCCUUGCAGCGCCCGGCAGCGAUCGGCACACCGGGUCAUUGCCACGGACUUGGAGAAUAUUGCCUAGCUCUACUUCAGAAUGGCAUUUGUUUGACAUCUGGGUGGAAGUUCCUCUGUGUGGAUGUAAUCUCCACUUGAGAGCAGCGAGGUUAAUCUCGGUGCCAGGGUUAAGGGGCCAGCAGCAGCUCUGGCUCUCGAGUGAGCGCUCCCAUCCCGAGUGCUGCCGUGCCCCCGUGGGUGCAGAGAUCGCAGCACCUCUGGCCUCGGGUUUCCCUUCCCUGCCGAGGCACUGCUCUCGGAGGGAUUUCCCGCAGGCAAUGUCCCGCACCUCCGUGCGGGAUGGGGACAGCCACCUCAAAGGGACAAGGGCUGUCUGCUCCGGGGGGCACUGUGCCCUUCACCCCUUCACUGCGGGGUCUCGUUUCAAGCCAAGUCCUUUGUUGCUAUGGUAAUACAAAUGAAAAAUCUAUACUAUGGUAAUUUUAGCAAAACACCUCUUUUCUCCCCCUAAACUAAAUCGGACUGUGGCUCAGGAUUGUGUGGGCACACAGGAAUAGUCGUGCUGAUAUUCCUCAGCCGGAGCUGUUGAACAGCAGUUGUGUAGAGGGCUGUCAGCGACUGGGGCUGUCAGCCUGGGCUGCUUUUCCCUGAUAGUGCACAGGAUCUUUGUUUGACUUUGGAGAGGUUUCUGAGCAGGCUCUGAGCCUUUGUCUGUAGCAGGGAGGUGACUGGUUUCACUGGCCGCAGUGACAGGUCCGGGAGUUUUGGCUCUUGUACAACAGUCUGUAGUAGCUUGCUAACAAAAUCCUGUAUUUGCAAAGUCUCGGCUGUCCAAGGGGAAGGACACCUUAAGCAGGGUCUCCCAGGGAGUAAUCUGGGACCAGUCCUGGGCAGUGCUCUGUGAUAACUUGGGUGACAGAAUGGAGGGCAUUUCUAGAACAUGGGCAGUGAUUCCAGCUCGGGGUGCCAGGCUGAGCUUUCAAACGUCCCCGAGGUGCUGCAGAGCCUGUCUGAACUCAACAGGGUGAAUCUGCAGGAGGCAAAACGAUGUGCUGUGCCACACAGGAGGAAUAGUGCCCGGCAGAGGAGCGCUGUGAGGGCCACUCGCUGCAGAGCAGACUCUGGCUGUGGUCUCCAGCCCGGGCAGAGCUGCAGUGCUGCUGCUGCCAGGAGCAGGAGGAGCAGCCGAGACAUCAGAGGCGUUAAUUCUGUUAUUUCUGUUCCCUCAGGCUGGCCAGGCUGGGCUGGAGCUCUCUGUCCGCUCCCAGGCACUGCACUCACCCUGAUGCAGGCAGAGCAGGGAGAACAGCAGCCACGACUGAGAGAGGCUUGGAAAUGUAAGCUGUGCAAGGCUGGGAUUCAUUAUUUGAGCUGCAAAAGAAAACACAAUAUUCCUGAACUGAAAGAGCUUUGCAAGCAUCUGAGAAAUGCCUUCCCAAGCAUGUGCUUAAGCAGCAGUGUUGUUCUUCGGCUUUAUGAGUGAGAAUGGAUGAUGCUCCUAAAUUCUUCAUUAUUCAUCUGCCUCAGGUUAGAACCUGACCAGAACCUGUGCUCUGAAACACUUCAGGGGCAAGAGAGUCCUUAAAUCCAAACUGAAUCUACUGUUCCCUGAUGAUAGAUCACUCAGACUGCCAAAUGUCACCUGGCAGACAAUUUUCAGUCAUUUAUUUCUGUUCAGAAAUAUACAUAAGAGGAGAUCAACUUCCAUUGUGUCUCUGUUUCUAGCUCAGUCAAUUUUUAAUACUGUCGAUAUAUUCAGUAGAUGGGAAAUAAUUAUCUUAGUCAAAAUACUUUUGAUUCAUAUGAAAAUAGAUACUGUGUUGCAGCUUUUAAAAUGAUUGUGACAGUAUAAAGGAAAAAAUUUAUUAG
Molecule: long non-coding RNA, 2053 nt
Organism: Taeniopygia guttata (zebra finch)
Lineage: Eukaryota; Metazoa; Chordata; Aves; Passeriformes; Estrildidae
Source: RefSeq, a predicted model, not a curated record